CGUACUUGUUACUCUUGACCAUCGCUGUACUUAUUCUCUUGUACAGAAGCUAUUGCACACUUGAACAAAACUGGCGAGUGAACAGUCUGCCUUUCACACAGAGCUCCAAAAUCAAGAUGUUAGACGCUGGUGCAACCUGAUGCCAUCCCUGGUGUCACAGAGCCUUCAUGCGAGACCAGAAUCCAGAAAAAAACAACGUUGGAUUAGUCAUUCAUCAGUCAAGCUCAUGUAUGCACCUACCCUAUCUGACUCUGUUGAAAAAAUUUGGUCUGGAAAUCCAAUUAUUAUACGCAUAAAAUGGUUCACCACUGCCUUGAAUCGCUCAUUAAUGAGAUGGGGCAUGAGUUGUUCAAAAUUCUGGUCACUGUGGUACAAUGCAGGAAUGGUCUCAACAAUUCUACUGUUUCCAAUAUCGAUAGUAGUCAUUUUAAAGUGACACUUAAUAUUUGGCUGUACAAUUCAGCAUCGCCAAAUGAAAA
Nasonia vitripennis (jewel wasp) is the source of this 479-nucleotide long non-coding RNA. RefSeq lists it as uncharacterized. Lineage: Eukaryota; Metazoa; Arthropoda; Insecta; Hymenoptera; Pteromalidae. The record is from RefSeq and is a predicted model, not a curated record. The transcript is spliced from 3 exons.